This 462-nucleotide ribosomal RNA is filed under the name Triticum aestivum (bread wheat). RNAcentral describes it as "partial small subunit ribosomal RNA". Lineage: Eukaryota; Viridiplantae; Streptophyta; Magnoliopsida; Poales; Poaceae. The record is from RNAcentral.
AUGAUGGGCGCGAGGAAGAUCGCCAUCAUCAACGUGGGCCUGUCCGGAUGUCUGCCAGUGGUCCGCGCCCACGACGCAAGGGGCGCAUGCAACGACGGCGUAAACGAGCUCGCGGCCGGAUUCAAUGGCGCCCUCAAGUUCUUCCUCGCCGACCUAGCGCCCAGGCUGCCGGGCCUCGCCUACUCACUCGCCGACGGCUUCGCCCACAGACAAGCCCUCAUCGCUAACCCGCAGGCUGCCGGCUUCGUGAACGCGACCAGCGCGUGCUGUGGGAGCGGGAGGCUCGGUGGGGAGGGCGGUUGCCUGCCCACGUCGAACAUCUGCGGCGACAGUGAUGGCUACGUCUACUGGGACUGGGACAAGGUCGAUGUUGCCACAGCGAAUAGGGGCCACAAGGCUUUUGGCAUAGUUGGUGACAGGCCAGUAACCUUCCCAAAGGAGCUCAAAGUCGAAGCAAAGUAG